AAGUGGUGUAAAGAUCCAUCAACGAGUAUUUGUUUAAAUAGUUUCGUCCAGCUAGAUUUGCGAUCCGAGCCACUGUGCGUCGUGUACAAUCGAACGAAGUCUAUCCACUACGUCUGCGAUUUCCCGAACGGUUUUACCCUUUUCAUGAUUAAUUUUCUUACUUCGAUUGAGCUUUGUCCACGCCGUCUACCCAUAGUUAAUUUUGGACUUUUAUUCAAAAAAACACGACUGAUAUUUUAUUUUAAGUUAUUACGUUUGGUACCUUUUUACCGAAAGCAAAUUCAUUGUGGGAUUGCCUUUUUAAAAUUGUCAAACAACUGUAAUAUUGCCAGAUGUCCGACUUCCUUUUUGACACCAAUUUUAAGCAUGCUGUAUGUUAACUUUUUUUUUAUAUCAAGGAGGUAAUGGAUUUGUAAAUUAUCAUUGUUAUUUUUAAAAUCCUAUUUGAAUACCCAAUAGAAAAAUAAAAAAAUUAAAAUAUUUAACUUGCAUUGCUUACGAAAAUUUUGAACUUGAAGUUGCAUGUUAUGUAUGUCCGAGUUUUUUAUUGAGCCACUCUACAAAAAUUAGUUAUUUUAUGGUUUCAUAACCACAUCACGCACCAACGCUCAAUGGAUGUGGUUAAUUCUUUUGUGCAUUCUGCUUGAUGUUUUCUUAGGUUCGUGGUAAACAAUUUUAGGGCAGAUAUUUGAAAAUUUAAAAUUAUUUAAAGGUUAAUAAAAUAUUUAACUUUCUUCACCUAAACUAAAAGCCACCUUUCU
Long non-coding RNA from Rhagoletis pomonella (apple maggot), 761 nucleotides. RefSeq lists it as uncharacterized. The record is from RefSeq and is a predicted model, not a curated record. NCBI's taxonomy places the organism in Eukaryota, Metazoa, Arthropoda, Insecta, Diptera, Tephritidae. The transcript has 2 exons.